Long non-coding RNA from Dermochelys coriacea (leatherback sea turtle), 1126 nucleotides. RefSeq lists it as uncharacterized. The transcript is spliced from 6 exons. The record is from RefSeq and is a predicted model, not a curated record. NCBI's taxonomy places the organism in Eukaryota, Metazoa, Chordata, Testudines, Dermochelyidae.
CAUGCUCCAAAAAACCAGCUUCUCUCCUGAGAAGAGGCAGACAUCACAGGGAACGUCCUCCACCAUUACAGAACCAGUUGUCAGGUGCUGGGCAUCACUGUUACGAACAAGGUAAAUUCUAAAUAAUCUGCCCUCAGCUCUUGCCUUUUCUAUACACAAGUUGCUUGUUUAAAUUGCACAGAGCUUGAUUGCCUUGCUACAUCAAGCAGGAGUCCUGGCUGCUCCGGUGUAAGUGGACCUGGAUUUCUUUCAUGAACCUGGGUUUUCUCUUCUUCUGAGGUGGGUGCAGAGCCAGGGUCCUCUGCCUUCUGGGGUCUGUGGACAUCUCUCUCCUCUCCUGAGGCUAGAUUUCAUUCUUGAUCUUUAUCUUCUGGACUCUGGUUCUUCUCUCAUUUUCUCAUUCACAUCCUCUUGUUUCUCCUUCUGGAUUAUGUAGGACAUGUACCUAAAAUUAACCUUCAUCCAGAAUGUCACAGAGAUUAGCUGUGCCAUUUUGGAGACCAGAGACUCCCAGGAGUUCAAAUUCUCUUACAAACUGGAGCUCCUUGGCUACGUACUGGUGAGUAAUUAGGAGCUUUGAGGACUGAAGUACAAAGGGGUUGUUGUAAUGUAGUAAGACUGGUUUUUCAGGUAGAUGUUAUUUUAUCCAUUGGCUGUGACUGUACCACUGCAGUCUUAUGAGCUACCUGCAUGGCACCGGAAUGCUGCUGGGUCCUCUCUGAGCUUGGCAGGGAUGCCGACCUAUUGUGGGCUGUAACUGGAAGGAAUGGCUUGUGUCUGGACUUCAUUAAAAUGUAACCACUGGAUUCCCUGGCAUCACCAGUUUGCUACAAGGCAAUUCUUGCCAUUGGACAUCUGAGCAAACUCAAACCAUCUUUGACCUUGGAGGAAAACCCGUGAGCUCCUUGAUCAGUGUUUCAAAAGUUUAUUUCCCUUUCCUCCCUCGGAGAAGAUGAAAGAGGAAGGCAAGACAGCAAAGGAUGCUCUGCCUAUACAGACACUGUACGUAGAGUCCUUGGAAGCCCUUGACAAGCUAAUGAAGACUUUGCUGGAGGAAGAACCAACCGCACAUUGGUUCUGGGAAAUGUUUCAACUACUAGAGACAUGGUUCAGUUCAAGGAAGGAG